CACAGGCGGAGGGCCCGGCGCUGCCCGGCCGGGGCAUGGAGCAAACCUGAGGGCCGCCCUGGGCAGGGGGUGCUGGGAAGGUGGAAUCCGCGGGGUUCUGCCGAGAGGAACGGCUCGUGUGUUAUGCCAUCAGAUCCAACAAUUAAUGGUCUUCAAUCCAGUCUUCAGGCUGCUGAGCUCCUCCUUUUGUACAGUCCUUUUUCAGAAGCACAUCUCUGAUUUAUGCAGCUUGACAAAAUCCUAAACCUGCAGUCUCCUUGUCCUCCUGUUAAAUGGCUUGCAUGCGUCUCCAUCCUCACCAUGCCUUCUCAGAGAGCACUGGUGUUGUGCAUCUCUCCAUCCCUCCGAGGUGCAUUUGGCCUUCCUUCUCUGCGAUUCCUCCCCUUCCCUUUUUCCUGACACAGACUCAAGUUUUAAAAAUCCAUUUUCCUUCUCUGAGCCACCAUUAUGCACAAAUACUUCUCUGCUCUUCUUCACAUGCCACCAAUUUCCUCCAGAACCUAUCACUCUCAUCUAGCUGCUUAACUGUGUAAUGAUAUGAAAUAUUCACUCUAAUGAGCCCCUGCUGUGGAUACCACUUGAUCCUGCCUUGUUUUUGUUCUUUUUGACUCCAACCUCACUGAAUGUUCGACUUUCCUUCUCCCAAAUUUCAAACUGCUUCCUGAAGCUACACCAUACGUGCAUAUGUACAGUUCAUACAACAUACGUCUUUUCUGCUGAUGUUUUCAGAAGGAACAAGGGCUAUCUUGAUGGGAAUUUUCAGCAAAUACCACGUGAUCAGUCUCGGACAGCUGCCAUGGAAACUUCAUCCUGAAGUUUUGCAAAGUAGAUGAAAAUAAAAUUUUGUAAUGAAAAAUGUCAGGGAACCUAAAUAGCAGACUGUUCCUUGGUGGUUAGUCCUUUGGCAAUUGGAAAGCACAGAGCUGCCAGCCCUUCAGCCUCAUGCACAGAAAUCAGCAUAUGUGGGACGAACAACCUGAUUAAAUGAAUACGAUUUAAGUUUUCAAGUAAAAGGGAAUCCAGAAGAACUACCCUAGUUGUGGCUUUAAAUACUGAACUUCUAAAUACUACCUCUGUUUUCUAUACCUUUGUGAUGCACCUACACAAACUAAUGGAAGGAUGAAAUGAUAGCACAGGGGCCUGGAGAUUGCUGCAUUCACGCUUUGUUUGCUUUGCUCAGGAUGGAAAGGCAGCAGGGUUGGGAAGAGCCAGCUACAGAGGAUGCUCUUCUGACAUGGUGGUUUGUUCGAUGGGCCUGAUCUAGAACUAUCUCGCAUAAUUAAGAUCUGAGAAAAGACAACCUUCUGUCCCUUCCCCAUAAAUCUGUGUUUGCAUUCAAAUGGUGAGUUGGAAUAUUGGAGUAAGUCUUCUUUUUUUCUUCUCCUUUGGGAUAUGAUAAAUUUUGCAAUUGCCAGAAUAAAUACAGAUUUAUC
This 1433-nucleotide long non-coding RNA is filed under the name Gallus gallus (chicken). RNAcentral's name for it is "lncRNA (ENSGALG00010020051.1)". The record is from RNAcentral. Lineage: Eukaryota; Metazoa; Chordata; Aves; Galliformes; Phasianidae.